GCCUUGUUGGCUCAGUCAGUUAAGCAUCUGACUUCGGCUCAGGUCACGAUCUCAUGGUUUGUGAGUUUGAGCCUCGCAUCGGGCU
Molecule: transfer RNA, 85 nt
Filed under: Felis catus (domestic cat)
Lineage: Eukaryota; Metazoa; Chordata; Mammalia; Carnivora; Felidae
Also listed under: 3 other names
Rfam family: tRNA
About the family: Transfer RNA (tRNA) molecules are approximately 80 nucleotides in length.
Source: Rfam by way of RNAcentral